GUGCUCGCUUCGGCAGCACAUAUACUAAAAUUGGAACAAUACAAAGAAGAUUAGCGUGGUCCCUGUGCAAGGAUGACACACAAAGAAAUGAGCAAAUAAAUGAAUGG
This is a small nuclear RNA of Lepus europaeus (European hare), 107 nucleotides long. NCBI's taxonomy places the organism in Eukaryota, Metazoa, Chordata, Mammalia, Lagomorpha, Leporidae. The record is from RefSeq and is a predicted model, not a curated record.